CUUCCUUCUGGGAUGUUAAUGUGAUUUUUCAUUUUCUCAAGUCUUGGCCUUUGAAUCACGAACUUUCUCUUAAACAAUUAUCAGCCAAGUUGUUGAUGCUGUUUUGUUUACUUUCAUGUAAACGGGUUGCUGAUGUCAGAGCAUUGGAUUGGCAAGCACGCGCUUUUGUUCUGAAUGGAGUAUCCUUUAAUAUUUCACGUAGGACGAAAUCUGUGACUAAGGAGGUUUGCUACCCGUCGUUUCCAGAUAAUCCAAAUCUGUGCCCAGUGUUCUGCCUUAAGGAAUACGAG
Molecule: non-coding RNA, 290 nt
Organism: Pelobates cultripes (western spadefoot toad)
Lineage: Eukaryota; Metazoa; Chordata; Amphibia; Anura; Pelobatidae
Source: the annotation of a GenBank genome assembly